Molecule: long non-coding RNA, 2485 nt
Filed under: Homo sapiens (human)
Lineage: Eukaryota; Metazoa; Chordata; Mammalia; Primates; Hominidae
Description: CTBP1 divergent transcript
Source: RNAcentral
GCGGCCUUACCAAGCGGCAGGCCCUUGUUGAGCAAGUGCGAGCUGCCCAUCGAGAGGCGCGAGCGGCCGCGGGCCCCGACCACUCCGGCGCGCUGCGCCGCCGCGAGCCCGGCGCGUGGGGCGGCCUCGGCGCCGUCCGCUGCUCCGCCCGCCCGCCUGCGCCUGGCCGCCGCCGUGCCGAGUCUCCGCCGCGCCGCUGAGCCGCGCUCCGACGACCGCGCGGGCGGGGACACGGCGGCGCGCGCGGGCGGGGCCUCGCGGUUGGUCUCCUGGUUCCCAGCGCGGGCGGCGCACGGACUCACGCGGGCGGCUCAGGGCCCGCCCGGCCGGGACGCGGCUGCGGGGCGGGGCGGGGCGGGAGCCUGGCGGGAAGCUCGCGGGGCUGCAGCCCGGCGGAGGCCCCGGGCCUGGUGUUCCGCACGUUCUAAACCGCCUGUCCCCGAGGAAGUCGGGCAGGGUCGGGCCGGACUCAGCGCCGCUGGCGGGAGCGCCGUCCGCCCCGAGGACCCUGCGGGCCCGGAAGCCGAGACAGGGCCGCCCACGUCAGCGCCUGGCGCGGGCCCGAACAAACCACGGCAUGGAGACGGAAUGAUGCAGACUCCUAUCCGCGAGAUACCUGCUGUAAUUUCGCUGUGGUUCGUGAGGACGCGUCCUGGGCUGCCCUGAGAAGCCUACGUCUCCCCUUCGAGGCCCGGGAAGACCUCCAACCCCGCUGACAAUGCUGGGCCCUCAGCCAGACCUGCCCUGCGUGCCACGUUCUGUUCUAAGAUCGGGCUGCCGAGCUGUGGCCUGGAGGAAACCUGGCAGGUGGGGCUGCCAUGAGCAGCAAGCUCAGUCCAGAAGAACAGUUCCUCUCCAGGAUCCACUUCCUGCGCACUUUUAUGUGCAGUGUAGCUGGAGCAGAGCUCCCCGGAAUUCCACAGGCAACUGAGAACGGAGAGGGAUGCAGGCCAGCCAGGGAUCCAGCGUCUUCCCCAUCGUCACUCUCCAUGGCCUCCGUCUACACACAGUGUUCGUCUGCACAGCUUGUCAGCGCGUUAUCAUGACUUCUAUUUGGCACCGGCCCGUCUGUCCACUGUCCUGGCUUGUUCCAAGCGCUGCCUUCUCCAACUGGGGUCCUGGCUGCAGAGCUGUCUGCUCCCCACGUUGGGCAACUCCAGCCAAGAUUCCUACACCCAAAUGUGACCGUGUUGCUCACGAAGAAGGCUCAGCUUUGCGUGUGCCCAGCCGUGUGCACAGCUCGUCCCAACUCCUGCGGGUGGCACCUGCCUCUCCCACCUCCAGUCUUUCCCCUGUGAUGAGCAGAUGACCACCGCCCUCCAGGGUCAGCGUUUGGCUGUUUGUGUGCCUGCCCACCCGCCUCCCUGUGCCUGGGCCUGCCCUGUGCCUGCACACAGGAGUGGCUCAUGGCGUUUGCCCUACACGGAUGGGCUGUCCUGGGAGCUACUGGACAGUCACCUUGGUGGGAAUGCCAGAGGCAUGGGCAUUAGGUCCCCCCGGCCAGCCUCCGUUGCCACAUGGGCUAUUUUUGUCCAUCGCGUGGGACAACCUAGUAUUGGGGGAAAACUCAGUCCACUCUAAAGAAGCAUCGGCGUUUUGGAUGGACGAAUGCUGCUUCAUGCGACUCCAUGUCAAUGGACUAUUUUAUUCAACUCGGGUAUUUAUGAGUGUCUCCUCUGUGCCAGCCACGUGUGAAAGAAGAACUCCAAGUUACUGGACACCAGGACAAACCAGGUAGAUCACUGCAUCCGGUUCCUCCUCUUUCUGCCGACUCUCCCGGGCAACCGUUCUGAUUCCUGGCAUGGAGUUGGGGGCGAGCUCAUCAGUACCCAGAGCGCCUGGUGUGCAGCCAAAGGCCCCCAUUUUAUUAGUCGGUGUGUUCAGUAUCACGCUCAAGACAAGGGCCAACCUAUUACUUCACACACCUCAAAUACAAAAAGUGCCUGGGAACGUCGAUGAGGUAUUAAAGGAAACCACUGGUCUUGUCAGUCAUGUACACACAGAAAAAAAAACCAGUCAUUUUUAUUUUUAUUUUUUGAGACAGAGUUUCGCUCUUGUUGCCCAGGCUGGAGUGCAAUGGUGCAAUUUCAGCUCACUGCAAUCUCUGCCACCCGGAUUCAAGCAAUUCUCCUGUCUCAGCCUCCCGAGUAGCUGGAAUUGCAGACACCCAUCACCACGCCCAGCUAAUUUUAUGUAUUUUUAGUAGAGAUGGGGUUUCACCAUGUUGGUCAGGCUGGUCUUGAACUCCUGACCUCAGGUGAUCCACCCACGUCAGGCUCCCAAAGUGCUGAGAUUACAGGCAUGAACCACUGUGCCCAGCCGAAAACAACCAAGAAUUUUUUAACAAUAAAAUGACCAGCAAGUAAACUUGAAACAAAAAUGGACAAAUAUCUAAAAUAUUUUUAAAUGUAUGUAUUUUAAUUGGCAAAUAAUACUUGUAUAUAUUGUUUACAACUUGUUUUAAAGUAUGAAUACAUUGUGGAAU